GUAAGGGCACAUGGCGGAUGCCUUGGCUCUCGGAGGCGAUGAAGGACGUGAUAAGCUGCGAUAAGCUGCGGGUAGGUGCAAAUGACCUUUGAUCCGCGGAUUUCCGAAUGGGACAACCCGGUACUUUGAAGAAGUAUCAUCCUGCAUUGCAGGAGGCUAACGCAGGGAACUGAAACAUCUUAGUACCUGCAGGAAAAGAAAAUAAACAAUGAUUCCCCCAGUAGUGGCGAGCGAACGGGGAAUAGCCCAAACCAUCCAUGUUACGGCAUGGGUGGGGUUGUAGGACCACGCCGUGGCAAGAAAGUUGGUGAGCAGAAUGUUCUGGAAAGUACAGCCAUAGAGCAUGACAGCUGCGUAUGCGAAGCCAAGCGAAGCCUAGUGGUAUCCUGAGUAGCGCGGAGCACGAGGAAUUCUGCGUGAAUCUGCCGGGACCAUCCGGUAAGGCUAAAUACUCCCGAGAGACCGAUAGUGAACCAGUACUGUGAAGGAAAGGUGAAAAGCACUUCGAACAGAAGAGUGAAAUAGUUCCUGAAACCAUGUGCCUACAAGCGGUCGGAGCACCUUCUGGUGUGACGGCGUGCCUUUUGCAUAAUGAACCUACGAGUUACUUUUUCCGGCGAGGUUAAGGAUUUCAGAUCUGCAGCCGAAGCGAAAGCGAGUCUGAACAGGGCGUAUAGUCGGAAGGAGUAGACGCGAAACCAAGUGAUCUACCCUUGGGCAGGUUGAAGGAUGGGUAACACCAUCUGGAGGACCGAACCAAUAAGCGUUGAAAAGCUUCUGGAUGACCUGAGGGUGGGGGUGAAAGGCUAAUCAAACUUGGAGAUAGCUCGUACUCCCCGAAAUGCAUUUAGGUGCAGCCUUGACUUAUACUGGCAUGAGGUAGAGCGACUGAUAAGAUGCGAGGGCUUCACCGCCUAUCAAGUCUUGACAAACUCCGAAUGCGUGUCAGUUCUAUGUCAGGAGUGAGGGCAUGGGUGCUAAGGUCCAUGUCCUAAAGGAGAACAAUCCGGACCAACAGCUAAGGUCCCGAAAUGAAUACUAAGUUGAACUAACGAAGUCAGAUUGCUAAGACAGCUAGGAUGUUGGCUUGGAAGCAGCCAUUCAUUUAAAGAGUGCGUAACAGCUCACUAGUCGAGGAGUUUGGCGUGGAUAAUAAUCGGGCAUAAGUAUUCUACCGAAGCUUUGGGAUGAGAAAUCAUCGGUAGGGGAGCAUUCCACUCGGCGUCGAAGGUGANNNNNNNNNNNNNNNNNNNNNNNNNNNNNNNCGCCGAAAGACUAAGGUUUCCUGAUCAACGCUAAUCGGAUCAGGGUAAGUCGGGUCCUAAGGCUCAGCCGAACGGCGAGGCCGAUGGCAGAACCGGUUAAUAUUCCGGUACUACCUGUGGGAGUGACGUGGAGACGGAGUCGUGACAGCGCCGCGGACUGACGGAAUAGUCCGUUGAAGGGUGUAGAUGCUGAUUGUUCCAGGCAAAUCCGGAGCAAGAGUCGAACCUGAUAGUAUGGAGCGUUCUUAGAACAAUCCAAUAGUGCGUGUAAUCAUACUUCCAAGAAAAUCCGCUAAACUUAAUCCUGCAGGUACCCGUACCGCAAACGGACACACGUAGUCGGGUUGAAUAUACUAAGGCGCUUGAGUGAUUCACGGUUAAGGAACUAGGCAAACUGACCCUGUAACUUCGGGAUAAAGGGUCCUCGCUUUACGGCGAGGCGCAGAGAAUAGGUCCAGGCAACUGUUUAACAAAAACACAGGGCUGUGCAAAAUUGAAAGAUGAAGUAUACAGCCUGACACCUGCCCGGUGCUGGAAGGUUAAGAGGAGAUGUCAUCGCAAGAGAAGCAUUGAAUUGAAGCCCCAGUAAACGGCGGCCGUAACUAUAACGGUCCUAAGGUAGCGAAAUUCCUUGUCGGGUAAGUUCCGACCUGCACGAAUGGUGUAAUGAUCUGGACGCUGUCUCAACCGUGAGCUCAGUGAAAUUGUAGUAUCGGUGAAGAUGCCGAUUACCCGCGAUGGGACGAAAAGACCCCGUGAACCUUUACUAUAGCUUAACAUUGAAUUUGGGUAAUUGAUGUGUAGGAUAGGCCGGAGGCUUCGAAGCAGGUACGCCAGUAUUUGUGGAGCCGCUGUUGAAAUACGGCCCUUUGAUUAUUUGAGUUCUAACCCGUUGAUGCGGGGACACUGUUUGGUGGGUAGUUUGACUGGGGUGGUCGCCUCCAAAAGUGUAACGGAGGCUUCUAAAGGUGCCCUCACGACGAUUGGUAACCGUCGGCAGAGUGUAAUGGCAUAAGGGCGCUUGACUGGGAGACUUACAAGUCGAUCAGGUAGGAAACUAGAGCAUAGUGAUCCGGUGUUUCUGUAUGGAAAGGACAUCGCUCAAAGGAUAAAAGGUACUCCGGGGAUAACAGGCUGAUCCCUCCCAAGAGCUCAUAUCGACGGAGGGGUUUGGCACCUCGAUGUCGGCUCGUCACAUCCUGGGGCUGGAGAAGGUCCCAAGGGUUGGGCUGUUCGCCCAUUAAAGUGGCACGCGAGCUGGGUUCAGAACGUCGUGAGACAGUUCGGUCUCUAUCUAUCGUGGGCGCAUGAAAUUUGCGUGGCUCUGACACUAGUACGAGAGGACCGUGUUGGACUGACCUCUGGUUUACCGGUUGUGCCGCCAGGUGCAUUGCCGGGUAUCUAAGUCGGGAUUGGAUAAGUGCUGAAAGCAUCUAAGUACGAAGCCAGCCACAAGAUUAGAUUUCUCAGGGUCGUUGUAGACUACGACGUUGAUAGGAUGCAGGUGUACAGGCAGCGAUGUCAUAGCCGAGCAUUACUAAUUGCCCGUCCACUUUUU
Molecule: ribosomal RNA, 2823 nt
Filed under: Bacteroides uniformis
Lineage: Bacteria; Pseudomonadati; Bacteroidota; Bacteroidia; Bacteroidales; Bacteroidaceae
Description: bacterial LSU rRNA
Rfam family: Bacterial large subunit ribosomal RNA
Source: RNAcentral